GCUUCAUUCAAAUAUCUGCCCUAUCAACUUUCGAUGGUAGGAUAGUGGCCUACCAUGGUUUUAACGGGUAACGGGGAAUAAGGGUUCGAUUCCUGAGAGGGAGCCUGAGAAACGGCUACCACAUCCAAGGAAGGCAGCAGGCGCGCAAAUUACCCAAUCCCGACCGGGGAGGUAGUGACAAUAAAUAACAAUAUUGGGCUCUUUUGGGUCUUAUAAUUGGAAUGAGUACAAUUUAAACCCCUUAACGAGGAACAAUUGGAGGGCAAGUCUGGUGCCAGCAGCCGCGGUAAUUCCAGCUCCAAUAGCGUAUAUUAAAGUUGUUGCAGUUACCAAGCUCGUAGUUG
This 344-nucleotide ribosomal RNA is filed under the name uncultured fungus. RNAcentral's name for it is "SSU rRNA". It matches the Rfam family "Eukaryotic small subunit ribosomal RNA", at positions 292 to 636 of the family's 1831-position model. The record is from RNAcentral. Lineage: Eukaryota; Fungi.